Molecule: ribosomal RNA, 200 nt
Filed under: Leucorrhinia glacialis
Lineage: Eukaryota; Metazoa; Arthropoda; Insecta; Odonata; Libellulidae
Description: partial 28S ribosomal RNA
Source: RNAcentral
AUGCCUUACGAUCGUUGGGUCGGACACGCUCCGCUAACCCAUAGGCGCAAUGAAAGUGAAGGUCGCCCUCUGCGGGACCGAGGGAGGACGGAGGCGGUCGCUCGCGGCCGCCUCCCGCACUCCCGGGGCGUCUGAUUCCUCUUUCUGAGGGAAGGCGCACCCAGAGCGCACACGUUGGGACCCGAAAGAUGGUGAACUAU